Cercocebus atys (sooty mangabey) is the source of this 104-nucleotide small nuclear RNA. The record is from Ensembl. Lineage: Eukaryota; Metazoa; Chordata; Mammalia; Primates; Cercopithecidae.
GUACUUGUUACAGCAGCACAUAGACUAAUACUGGAAUGAUGCAGAGAUUAGCCUGACCCUUGUACAAGGAUGACAUGCAAAUUCAUGAAGUCUUCCUUUUUUUU